GCCCGCUCAGAAACUCAAAGGAAUUGACGGGACCCCGCACAAGCGGUGGAUCAUGUUGUUUAAUUCGAUGAUACGCGAAGAACCUUACCGGGUCUUGACAUCCCCCGCGAUGCUUUAGAGAUAAAGCGGAGGUAUUCGGGAGACAGGUGGUGCAUGGUUGUCGUCAGCUCGUGUCGUGAGAUGUUGGGUUAAGUCCCGCAACGAGCGCAACCCCUAUUGCUAGUUACCAUCAUUAAGUUGGGGACUCUAGCGAGACUGCCAGUGAUAAACUGGAGGAAGGUGGGGAUGACGUCAAAUCAUCAUGCCCCUUAUGACCUGGGCUACAAACGUGAUACAAUGGCUGGAACAAAGGGAUGCGAAGCAGUGAUGUGGAGCGAAACCCAUAAAAACAGUCUCAGUUCGGAUUGAAGUCUGCAACUCGACUUCAUGAAGUCGGAAUCGCUAGUAAUCGCGGAUCAGAACGCCGCGGUGAAUACGUUCUCGGGGUUU
RNAcentral lists this ribosomal RNA (489 nucleotides) under uncultured Acholeplasma sp. RNAcentral's name for it is "bacterial SSU rRNA". It matches the Rfam family "Bacterial small subunit ribosomal RNA", at positions 887 to 1382 of the family's 1533-position model. The record is from RNAcentral. Lineage: Bacteria; Bacillati; Mycoplasmatota; Mollicutes; Acholeplasmatales; Acholeplasmataceae.